This 363-nucleotide unclassified non-coding RNA is filed under the name uncultured fungus. RNAcentral describes it as "partial contains small subunit ribosomal RNA, internal transcribed spacer 1, and 5.8S ribosomal RNA". The stretch from base 1 to 73 matches the Rfam family "Eukaryotic small subunit ribosomal RNA", at positions 1759 to 1831 of the family's 1831-position model. The record is from RNAcentral. Lineage: Eukaryota; Fungi.
GCAAACUUGGUCAUUUAGAGGAAGUAAAAGUCGUAACAAGGUAACCGUAGGUGAACCUGCGGUUGGAUCAUUAAAAAAAACGUUUGGUCUUGUACCAAAUCAACAUUGUGUGCACCAAAUGACUGUUUUUGGUAGCUCGAGUUUGACCAUCGGAACUCAACACUCCUUUGGUCCUACCGCGAUUUGAAUGGCAGGUUUUGCCUGCUAUUCUGAUCAUUUAUGCGGUUGGGCUACCGACCAUGUUGAAUAACUUUUUUUGUUUUUUUUUGUCUGAUUUUUUAAGAUUUGAUCUUUAUCGAUUGAAUAUUAAAUACAACUUUUGACAACGGAUCUCUUGGCUCUCGCAUCGAUGAAGAACGCAGC